RNAcentral lists this ribosomal RNA (402 nucleotides) under uncultured bacterium. RNAcentral's name for it is "bacterial SSU rRNA". It matches the Rfam family "Bacterial small subunit ribosomal RNA", at positions 355 to 773 of the family's 1533-position model. The record is from RNAcentral.
GGGGGAAUAUUGCACAAUGGGCGCAAGCCUGAUGCAGCGACGCCGCGUGCGGGAUGAAGGCCUUCGGGUUGUAAACCGCUUUCAGCAGGGGCGAAUCUUGACGGUACCUGCAGAAGAAGCGCCGGCUAACUACGUGCCAGCAGCCGCGGUAAUACGUAGGGCGCGAGCGUUGUCCGGAAUUAUUGGGCGUAAAGAGCUCGUAGGCGGCCUGUUGCGUCCGCUGUGAAAUCCCAGGGCUCAACCCUGGGCGUGCAGUGGAUACGGGCGGGCUGGAGGCAGGCAGGGGAGAACGGAAUUCCCGGUGUAGCGGUGAAAUGCGCAGAUAUCGGGAGGAACACCGGUGGCGAAGGCGGUUCUCUGGGCCUGUGCUGACGCUGAGGAGCGAAAGCGUGGGGAGCGAAC